CUGACUGCUAUCGGAUUGGUACUAAGCCAUGUGAGUCGUUGUAGCAAUACAAGGCAUACGGCUCAGUAACACGUAGUCAAUCUAACCUAUGGACGGGGAUAACCUCGGGAAACUGAGGAUAAACCCCGAUAGAUCAUAAUGCCUGGAACGGUUUAUGGUUCAAGUGAUUCGUCGCCGUAGGGUGGGACUGCGGCCUAUCAGCUUGUUGGUGAGGUAAUGGCCCACCAAGGCUAUUACAGGUACGGGCUCUGAGAGGAGUAGCCCGGAGAUGGGUACUGAGACACGGACCCAGGCCCUAUGGGGCGCAGCAGGCGAGAAACCUUUGCAAUGUGCGCAAGCACGACAAGGUUAAUCCGAGUGAUUCCUGCUUAAGGAAUCUUUUGUUAGCCGUAAAACCACUAUUGAAUAAGGGGUGGGCAAGUUCUGGUGUCAGCCGCCGCGGUAAAACCAGCACCUCAAAUGGUCAGGAUGAUUAUUGGGCCUAAAGCAUCCGUAGCCUGUUCUGUAAGUUUCCGGUUAAAUCCAUUAACUCAACUAAUGGGCUGCCGAAAAUACUGCAGAACUAGGGAGUGGGAGAGGUAGACGGUACUCGGUAGGAAGGGGUAAAAUCCUUUGAUCUAUUGAUGACCACCUGUGGCGAAGGCGGUCUACCAUAACACGUUCGACGGUGAGGGAUGAAAGCUGGGGGAGCAAACCGGAUUAGAUACCCGGGUAGUCCCAGCUGUAAACGAUGCAAACUCGGUGAUGCCCUGGCUUGUGGCCAGUGCAGUGCCGCAGGGAAGCCGUUAAGUUUGUCGCCUGGGAAGUACGUACGCAAGUAUGAAACUUAAAGGAAUUGGCGGGGGAGCACCGCAAGGGGUGAAGCCUGC
This 869-nucleotide ribosomal RNA is filed under the name uncultured archaeon. Its description in RNAcentral is "bacterial SSU rRNA". It matches the Rfam family "Archaeal small subunit ribosomal RNA", at positions 23 to 898 of the family's 1478-position model. The record is from RNAcentral.